RNAcentral lists this ribosomal RNA (803 nucleotides) under Streptococcus sp. B-142-2-2. RNAcentral describes it as "bacterial SSU rRNA". It matches the Rfam family "Bacterial small subunit ribosomal RNA", at positions 87 to 877 of the family's 1533-position model. The record is from RNAcentral. Lineage: Bacteria; Bacillati; Bacillota; Bacilli; Lactobacillales; Streptococcaceae.
UUGGAUGAGUUGCGAACGGGUGAGUAACGCGUAGGUAACCUGCCUUGUAGCGGGGGAUAACUAUUGGAAACGAUAGCUAAUACCGCAUAACAAUGGGUGACACAUGUCAUUUAUUUGAAAGGGGCAAUUGCUCCACUACAAGAUGGACCUGCGUUGUAUUAGCUAGUAGGUGAGGUAACGGCUCACCUAGGCGACGAUACAUAGCCGACCUGAGAGGGUGAUCGGCCACACUGGGACUGAGACACGGCCCAGACUCCUACGGGAGGCAGCAGUAGGGAAUCUUCGGCAAUGGGGGCAACCCUGACCGAGCAACGCCGCGUGAGUGAAGAAGGUUUUCGGAUCGUAAAGCUCUGUUGUAAGUCAAGAACGAGUGUGAGAGUGGAAAGUUCACACUGUGACGGUAGCUUACCAGAAAGGGACGGCUAACUACGUGCCAGCAGCCGCGGUAAUACGUAGGUCCCGAGCGUUGUCCGGAUUUAUUGGGCGUAAAGCGAGCGCAGGCGGUUUGAUAAGUCUGAAGUUAAAGGCUGUGGCUCAACCAUAGUUCGCUUUGGAAACUGUCAAACUUGAGUGCAGAAGGGGAGAGUGGAAUUCCAUGUGUAGCGGUGAAAUGCGUAGAUAUAUGGAGGAACACCGGUGGCGAAAGCGGCUCUCUGGUCUGUAACUGACGCUGAGGCUCGAAAGCGUGGGGAGCGAACAGGAUUAGAUACCCUGGUAGUCCACGCCGUAAACGAUGAGUGCUAGGUGUUGGAUCCUUUCCGGGAUUCAGUGCCGCAGCUAACGCAUUAAGCACUCCGCCUGGG